This 478-nucleotide ribosomal RNA is filed under the name uncultured bacterium. Its description in RNAcentral is "bacterial SSU rRNA". It matches the Rfam family "Bacterial small subunit ribosomal RNA", at positions 28 to 505 of the family's 1533-position model. The record is from RNAcentral.
GACGAACGCUGGCGGCGUGCCUGACACAUGCAAGUCAACUUGACUGAAGGAGCAAUCUGACAGUAGAGUGGCGCAAGGGUGCGUAACGCGUAAGUAACUUGCCCCAAGGUAAGGAAUAACGUCGAGAAAUCGGCGCUAAUACCUCAUAAUGCAGCGGAUCCGCAUGGAUAUGUUGUUAAAGGUUUACCGCCUUGGGAUAGGCUUGCGUCUGAUUAGCUAGUUGGUGUGGUAACGGCACACCAAGGCUACGAUCAGUAACUGGUCUGAGAGGAUGAUCAGUCACACUGGAACUGAGACACGGUCCAGACUCCUACGGGAGGCAGCAGUGAGGAAUAUUGGGCAAUGCUCGAAAGAGUGACCCAGCAACGCCGCGUGGAGGAUGAAGGUAUUCUAUAUCGUAAACUCCUGUGAGAGCAGACGAAAGACAGAUUAUUAAUCUGGAUGACUGUAUGCUCAGAGGAAGCCCCGGCUAACUACG